Molecule: transfer RNA, 72 nt
Organism: Camelus ferus (Wild Bactrian camel)
Lineage: Eukaryota; Metazoa; Chordata; Mammalia; Artiodactyla; Camelidae
Rfam family: tRNA
About the family: Transfer RNA (tRNA) molecules are approximately 80 nucleotides in length. Their secondary structure includes four short double-helical elements and three loops (D, anti-codon, and T loops). Further hydrogen bonds mediate the characteristic L-shaped molecular structure. tRNAs have two regions of fundamental functional importance: the anti-codon, which is responsible for specific mRNA codon recognition, and the 3' end, to which the tRNAs corresponding amino acid is attached (by aminoacyl-tRNA synthetases). tRNAs cope with the degeneracy of the genetic code in two manners: having more than one tRNA (with a specific anti-codon) for a particular amino acid; and 'wobble' base-pairing, i.e. permitting non-standard base-pairing at the 3rd anti-codon position.
Source: Rfam
GAGGUUAUAACUCAGUGGUAGAGUGCAUGUCUAGCAUGCAGGAAGUCCUGGGUUCAACCCCCAGUACCUCCA